GGAGGCGAGCUCCCUGGUCAGAGCGCAUGCUUGGCAUGCAUGAGGGCCUGGGUCCAAUCCCCAGUGUCUUCG
Molecule: transfer RNA, 72 nt
Filed under: Camelus bactrianus (Bactrian camel)
Lineage: Eukaryota; Metazoa; Chordata; Mammalia; Artiodactyla; Camelidae
Also listed under: 2 other names
Rfam family: tRNA
About the family: Transfer RNA (tRNA) molecules are approximately 80 nucleotides in length. Their secondary structure includes four short double-helical elements and three loops (D, anti-codon, and T loops). Further hydrogen bonds mediate the characteristic L-shaped molecular structure. tRNAs have two regions of fundamental functional importance: the anti-codon, which is responsible for specific mRNA codon recognition, and the 3' end, to which the tRNAs corresponding amino acid is attached (by aminoacyl-tRNA synthetases). tRNAs cope with the degeneracy of the genetic code in two manners: having more than one tRNA (with a specific anti-codon) for a particular amino acid; and 'wobble' base-pairing, i.e. permitting non-standard base-pairing at the 3rd anti-codon position.
Source: Rfam by way of RNAcentral